Long non-coding RNA from Platichthys flesus (European flounder), 466 nucleotides. RefSeq lists it as uncharacterized. The transcript is spliced from 2 exons. NCBI's taxonomy places the organism in Eukaryota, Metazoa, Chordata, Actinopteri, Pleuronectiformes, Pleuronectidae. The record is from RefSeq and is a predicted model, not a curated record.
ACCGCAGUAGGCUUCCUCUAAGUAGGCCUGAAGCUCCUCCAGUGAAGCCUCUGCCUUUCCAAAGUGCCUCAGCCCUGCAGAGACACACACAGUGAGCUGUGGUAACACCCACAUGUGUCCAUCCACAGCUGUUAUUUACCGGAGGUGUUGAGUGGUCCUGUCAUGCUGCCCCUCAGCACGUUGAUCUCUGGGACACUGUCAGAAACCGGCAGUAGGGGGUUGAUUUUAGCAGCCUUGUGUCCAUGUGCUCUGUAAGCCUCCACCAGCCGAGCCACACCAUGAUCUGAGCACAGAGCGAGAGGCUGUCAGCCGUCAAAGUGACAACAACAACAAAACAACAAGAAUGACAAGAACUCUAACAACUCCAUCUGAGUGACUGAAUGACACGUUUACAAAGAAAUGAGACUGUAAAGUGCUUAUUAAAAGGACAAAACAAACACGAAUAAAGACACGCGUUUCAGGCAGA